UACGUAGGUGGCAAGCGUUAUCCGGAAUUAUUGGGCGUAAAGCGCGCGCAGGUGGUUUCUUAAGUCUGAUGUGAAAGCCCACGGCUCAACCGUGGAGGGUCAUUGGAAACUGGGAGACUUGAGUGCAGAAGAGGAAAGUGGAAUUCCAUGUGUAGCGGUGAAAUGCGUAGAGAUAUGGAGGGACACCAGUGGCGAAGGCGACUUUCUGGUCUGUAACUGACACUGAGGCGCGAAAGCGUGGGGAGCAAACAGGAUUAGAAACCCGAGUAGUCC
This 273-nucleotide ribosomal RNA is filed under the name uncultured Bacillus sp. Its description in RNAcentral is "partial 16S ribosomal RNA". It matches the Rfam family "Bacterial small subunit ribosomal RNA", at positions 524 to 796 of the family's 1533-position model. Lineage: Bacteria; Bacillati; Bacillota; Bacilli; Caryophanales; Bacillaceae. The record is from RNAcentral.